AUGUCAUGAACUGGUGAGUAAUUUCUUGAUUAUGCAAUAUCACCUAGGGGUAGGGGUAUGACGAUCAAUUGGGUUUAACUUCUGCUCUAUAAUGUUUUAUUAAUUGUUAGGGGAGGCUAGGGAUAGCAAACCAGUAAUUAAUAUUAGGCUCUUUUCGCCGAGGGAUCGGGUUAAGGGUAGGCUAAGAAAGUUGCAUGACAAUUAAUUAAUCAAGCUAAUAAUUCAAGAGGAGUAAAUAAGAGAGAGCAGAUUAGAUGAAAUUGUAAACCCCCAACAACUUCAUUCAUCCAUUGUUUUCUUCUUGUCAUUUGAAUCAAUUUCUUUUGCAUGUUCAUAUUUUAUUCUCUUACCCAAUUUAUUAAUUUUUAUUUUUUAAGUCUUAUUAUUUUAAUUCACGCAAACGAGAAAGCCUUUCGAGUCUCUUGGGAAAACGAUACUUGGUCUUACCAUUUAUUAUUACUUGAUACGAUUUGGUACGCUUGCCAAUCCGUUAAC
This 495-nucleotide long non-coding RNA is filed under the name Vigna radiata. RNAcentral's name for it is "long non-coding RNA (VRAD_LNC005111)". Lineage: Eukaryota; Viridiplantae; Streptophyta; Magnoliopsida; Fabales; Fabaceae. The record is from RNAcentral.